GGAUGAACGCUAGCUACAGGCUUAACACAUGCAAGUCGAGGGGAAACGGCAUUUAGUGCUUGCACUGAAUGGACGUCGACCGGCGCACGGGUGAGUAACGCGUAUCCAACCUUCCCAUUACUGUGGGAUAACCUGCCGAAAGGCAGACUAAUACCGCAUAGUCUUCGAUGACGGCAUCAGAUUUGAAGUAAAGAUUUAUCGGUAAUGGAUGGGGAUGCGUCUGAUUAGCUUGUUGGCGGGGUAACGGCCCACCAAGGCAACGAUCAGUAGGGGUUCUGAGAGGAAGGUCCCCCACAUUGGAACUGAGACACGGUCCAAACUCCUACGGGAGGCAGCAGUGAGGAAUAUUGGUCAAUGGACGAGAGUCUGAACCAGCCAAGUAGCGUGCAGGAUGACGGCCCUAUGGGUUGUAAACUGCUUUUGUAUGGGGAUAAAGUCAAUCACGUGUGAUUGUUUGCAGGUACCAUACGAAUAAGGACCGGCUAAUUCCGUGCCAGCAGCCGCGGUAAUACGGAAGGUCCGGGCGUUAUCCGGAUUUAUUGGGUUUAAAGGGAGCGUAGGCCGGAGAUUAAGUGUGUUGUGAAAUGUAGACGCUCAACGUCUGACUUGCAGCGCAUACUGGUUUCCUUGAGUACGCACAACGUUGGCGGAAUUCGUCGUGUAGCGGUGAAAUGCUUAGAUAUGACGAAGAACUCCGAUUGCGAAGGCAGCUGACGGGAGCGCAACUGACGCUUAAGCUCGAAGGUGCGGGUAUCGAACAGG
Molecule: ribosomal RNA, 762 nt
Filed under: Prevotella melaninogenica
Lineage: Bacteria; Pseudomonadati; Bacteroidota; Bacteroidia; Bacteroidales; Prevotellaceae
Description: bacterial SSU rRNA
Rfam family: Bacterial small subunit ribosomal RNA
Source: RNAcentral